GGGGACGUAGCUCAAACGGAUAGAGCAUCGGAUUUCUAAUCCGAGGGUUGCAGGUUCAAGUCCUGCCGUCCCUACCA
Molecule: transfer RNA, 77 nt
Filed under: Acidobacteriota bacterium
Lineage: Bacteria; Pseudomonadati; Acidobacteriota
Also listed under: 1 other name
Description: Acidobacteria bacterium tRNA-Arg
Rfam family: tRNA
About the family: Transfer RNA (tRNA) molecules are approximately 80 nucleotides in length. Their secondary structure includes four short double-helical elements and three loops (D, anti-codon, and T loops).
Source: RNAcentral